This is an RNA transcript of Macadamia integrifolia, 5520 nucleotides long. RefSeq lists it as uncharacterized. Lineage: Eukaryota; Viridiplantae; Streptophyta; Magnoliopsida; Proteales; Proteaceae. The transcript has 8 exons. The record is from RefSeq and is a predicted model, not a curated record.
CCUUUCUCUCUCUCCCUCCGCAUGUCCUUCCCCGACUCUUGGUCUUGCUCCAUCCCCGCUCAGGCGUUCACCCCAACAACUUGUCCCCUUACGCUGUGAAUCUGUGGCAACCCCCACUUCUCCAUAUGUUAGUUUUUGGUAAAUUGUUGAUCCGUUUAGAGCUUAAUUCCAAUGUGAAGGGUCGAACGGAGCCUGAUUCGCCAACCACCGUUGCUGCCAGUGAGUUCACCGUGGACAGUCGUCCGAUGAACUCUUCCGAUAAAAUCUUGUUCCAGAUCUUGGAGAGGAGCUCGAAUAGCUUCAAUGACGGUCCUAGGAUUAAGCAAAGGGGCAUGGAAACAUCUUAUUUUGUAAAUUUCAGAGUCACCCCAGUUCUUAACAUUCCCGUUCGUUCGCUUUAUGGAUUGUCGAAGUCUGUUUCUAUCUUUGGGAGACAACUUCCACAAAAUUCAUACCAACAGAAAUCGCCCCGACUGGAAUUGGUCUCGGAUUAUUCUUCAAGUAAUACUAUACUAUUUUUUUUUCUUUCUUAACUUAGUUUCCUCUGAUUCUCUCUGUUUGGUUGCAGUCUUUUCCGCGGAGAGGAAGGCGAAGGAGAGGAAAGAGGCAUCGAUGGAGCAUGCGGCUCCUCUGAAGGUUCAUGGAAAGGGGAAGAGAAGGUUGUGGUCACUGGUCACUGGUUGGGCCUCCUCGAUCGAUGCCACAAGGAGAGGUACCGAUAACAUCGUCAGGGUUGCAGCCACCGGUUCCAGCAACCGUUGAGGCGAUGCAGUCGCCCUGAGUCCCAUUUGAAUAGAAUCUCAGGAUCUGUCGAACCCAGAAACCGCCGUAACAAGAUGUGAAGAAGAGAGAGAAGGAAAGAAAAAUUAAAAGACUGUAGCCGGUAACAGGUUAAAUGUUUUUAAUAUUCAACGGUUGAGAUUUAAUAUUAGCAAAGCAACGGAUGAGAUUAAAAUGAAGCGUUUAAACCUUGAGAAAGCUUAAGCACUGCUAACUUUUGGCCAAAACAAAAACAAAAACAAAAACACAAAUUCCCAGAUCGACGGAAUCCUUCUUCGUUUCUUCAAGUUCGGUGGUUUUGGAUCCUGGCUACUGCCCUUUGCUCUUCUACGUCCCCGUUCACAGUAAAUUGCAACGACGGCCGGCGAGUCAUUGCCGUUCCUGAACUUACUAUUUUUAUGGACUAUUGUCAGAAAUUGAAGGAGGGAAAAAGGUCAUGAACGAGGGUUUUUGAAACUACCAUUCGAUAUCCUUCCAUGGCCUCAUCGUCUUCUUCUUCUAAGCUUGCAUGGCUUUGGUGCUUCGAAGCUCUCGCAGACUUUAAACCUGUGGACAGAACUCUUCUACGCGAUUUAACAAGUAUAGUUCCCAAAUUGUCCAACCAAUUGAGUGAAACUGCUCGGGAAAGAGUCGCUUUGAUAUGCUUGGAGCAGUGGCUUAGUGUGAAUAGUGCAUCAGAUGAAGGAGUGGCAUCUUUGACAUCGGGGUCUGGUUUAGAGGCCAUUGAUGGUGUGGCCGAGCGAAGAAGCUGUGUAGAGGUUCUCCAUUUUGUUCUGAACAAGGCAAAAAUGUCAGAAAUGUUGAAGGAGGAGGUUCACCAGUUUAUUCUCCAUAAAAGAGAGAGUUUGCCUGGAUGUGCUUUGAGACAGCUGAAAGAUGCAAUCCAAGAUGGAACUCAUCCAAUUUCAACAGCCAUGUGGAAAAGGAGUGGUUUGGCCAAAGGAAAUCAAAAUUGGAGUAUAAUUCAUGCCGGUAAGGGUGAUCCCACUGAACCUGCAAGGAUACACGACACUGCUGAUUAUGAAAUUCAGGCACCAACGGAAAAAUUAGUUCAUCCACUUUCCCAAAAGAAUGGGAAAGAGCUCUUGCAAGAGGGACAAGAGUGGAACAAGAGUGGGUUGGACCAAGAAAAUCAAAACAAGAGUAUCACUCCUACCGAUGGAAGUCCAUCUUUUCAACCUGUGAUGAUCCACAAUAAUACUGGUGAUAAUAGAAUCCAGGCACCACAAGAAAAAUUAGUUUAUAUUGUUUCUGGAGGAAAUGGGAAAGAGCUCUUGCAAGGACAGCCUCCGGGUGGCAAUACCGAAUCUGCUCAGUGGGGUAUGGAAAAUGAAAAGCCAGUAGAAAGGCAUCUUUGUUUAGAUGAUGAUCAUCAUGUCAAUGGGAGCCAUAUGAGUUGUCUGAAGGAUUGGGGAUACCUACGAUCAGAUCUUAAGUUGGAAACUGUGACCCAUGGAACUGGGAAUGAAAUCUUGAAAGGCAAUCCAUCUGAUAGUGGUAUGAAAUCUACUAAAAGGGAAAGGAGUGGCCUUGCUAAGGAAUCGCAGUUAAAUUGUUUGGGCAAAAGCAGAAUACUUGUGGAAAAUAUCGAUCACCUUGCAGAUGUCAAGAUAGCCAAUUAUGUUCAAACCCAGUCUAUUGUGCACAAACAUGAACAAGUGGAUCCUCCUGGAAGGAUUAUGUCAUUGCCUGAAAAUUUUAUCUUAACAAAUGAAACUCAAAUACAAGGCCUAGAGGGAGCUGAAAUUUGUGGGGAUGGUACUGAUUUUCUCCCCUUAAAGAAGUCUAAGAAUGGUAAUAGUGAUUGUGAAAUCCAGCAUUAUAUGUCAUGUAAUGAUAAAGUAUCACUAACUUCAAGUCCAGUUGUUUCCCAGCGAAACAAUUCUGAUAAUGCUGAAGACAAUAAGGAAAUAUCUGAAUCGCAACCAAAUGGAUCCAACAAAAAUGUUUCUGUUGAAACUGAAGACAGAGACAAGGGACGUGGCGAAAGACAGGCAUCAAGCAAGAAUGGUGGGCAUUCUAAUGUAACCCUAUCCUUGAAAUUGACUGAUACAGAGUUUAUUGCUGCUGAGAAGCAUAGAUUUUUGAAUUCCCGAAGCACAUAUGACUAUGAUUCUCAGGCAACAUCAUAUCAGAAAGCACAAAGGAUAUGUUGCAAGUGUGGAAGAGGUGGCCAAUUGUUAAUUUGCAGUGUAAAUUGCUGCCCGUUGGUGGUUCAUAAUAGUUGCUUGGGAUCACCAGGUGGUUUUGAUGAUAAAGGAAACUUCCAGUGUCCAUUUUGUUCUUAUGAACGUGCAAUCACUGCCUGUCUUGAUUUAAAGAAGAAGCUUGCCCUAGCAAGGAAAUGUUAUGCUACGUUCAUUUGUGCAAAAUCUUCGAGUACCAGUCAAGAACCCCAGUCCAGAAAAACUACUGAUGUUGGCCUGCCUGAUAAGAAUCAUGAUAAGAGGGAGCAUAAAGAAAUUAUUUCUAAUCAUUCAAUGCAGGUGAUGGAACAUCAGAAAGAUGCAGACGAUGUUGGUAGGCUUCCACAGGGGUUACUUUCUGGCACAGAACCAGAGACAUCUAUAGGUUCCGAGAGAAAUGAUAUUGUCCUAAUCGGAGAAAAUCCAAAACCAGUGGUUGUUCAUCAAAUUAAAGGUUCAAAGGAAGAUCAGCAGCCUAAAGGGCCUCCGAAUGUAUGCUGUAAUUAUGAUUUUCCCCUGAGAGAAGAAAGUACAUUUCCAAUCACUGAGACACCUUCAGCUUCACUUGCCAUGGAAAGAGGGAAGGAAAAUAUGCCUGAUCAGCCUCAUCCCAUCAGCGGGGAAGAAGAGGAAAAGAAACAGGAAUUUGCUUGUAAGGAAGAUAUCUCUGCUAAUUUACCUUGUACGAAAAGAACUAUCUCACUAAGUCACGAACCUGCUAGACAUGGAAACUUGAAUCCAGUAUUGCAACAACAGAUUGUCAAUCCAGUGUCGGAACCCUCAUCUCAGCCAAUUUUCACUGCAAAAGAAACUACUGAGAAUGAAAGUGACUAUGAUGAUAUUUCCUCUGAUAACUCUAGAAGAUCCCAAAGGCCAGCUAUUCGCCGGUCAUUUCCUGUAUUAUCUGGAAGGAGAAGGAAAGUUCCUUGGACAAAUGAAGAGGAGGAAAUUUUAGUGGAAGGAAUGCGGAGAUUUUCAAGUACUGAUUAUAAAAAUGUACCAUGGAAGAUGAUCCUGGAAUUUGGUUCCCAUGUAUUUCACAAAAAUCGCAACGCUGUUGACCUUAAGGAUAAAUGGAGGAACAUUUGCACCAAAGGAGAUCCAAGAGCUAGGUGAAAAUGAAGACCUGAUGUUGGAUACUUGAAAGUGGAGGGCUCUACAUGUUUCAGACAUCUCUAGAUUUUCUUGUAUAUCUUUUUAUUUUAUUUUAUUCUAUGAAUAAAGAUUAUAUUAGGGAGAAGAAGACAAGAAUAUACAAGCCCAAAGGCCAAAGAGGAAGGAGCAAACAAAGUAGCAAGCCUAGUUAGGGGGGCGGAUGCAGUAUGGAGAGGGGAAGGCCCCAAGACACAACAAUUAGCCCAUUCCUUGGGCAGUCGACAGACGAGUGGUGGAGCGUGGCUAGUUUGGAGCUAAUGUCAAGCCAACAUGUGGAUGAUGGAGACUGGAGAGUUACCUGCUUAUAAGACUGAGCAAAGCAUGUUAUGACAGCAAGGAACACCUGCAAAAUGGAGUCGUUGCGAUCGUGAUGCAUCCUAUAUGAUGGAGUUAGAAAAUGGUCACCUAUGUGGUAAGGUUUAUGAACCUUCCAAUUCACAAAAUGAUGAUGGUUGAUCGCAGUGAUUCAGUCUCUCAGUUUAUUGAGAAUCAAGGCAUAUAAGUUGUAAACAGGCAGCUUGUAGCUUCACACCCCUUGAACAAAAAUAAAAAAAAUAAAAAAAUAAAAUAAAAUAGAGCAAGCAUUCCUCUUGUCAAUCUCUUAUAAUUGAGUGAUUUGUGGACAUGGGUAUUCAAGUGGGUUCAAUGUACCUGGCACCAAAAUCAUGACCAUUGCAGUUGGGAAAAAAAUCUUUUAGUUUCCUUACCAUCCAAAGUCCAAGCACAAAAUGCCUUCAGAAUUUCUUAUCACUGUCAACCAAACACUAAGAAAAAUUUCUUUUCUAUGUCAACGAAACAUCUAGAAUUUUUGUCUAUUCUUUUCUAUUCUUUUUUCUUGGCAUCCAAACACAGCCUAAAUGGAGUUUGGGAAAUUAAAACCUAAAAUUGCUAGUUUUCUCAUUCUUUUAAUGUUGAUGGAAAUGGUUUGAACAUAUGUAACAAAAACCUAUAAAUGUACCUGCUAGGAAAGACAUGGUUCAAAUUGUACAAAAGAGAGGUCUACAGUGACUUUUCAUGAAAGUGGAAAGAAAAGGCAUUGAUGCUGAGCUCUAGUAUGUCUCUAAAUAGAAUGGAAUGGUGAACAUUAUCCUGCUAAGCAGCCAGUUCCGUCCUGCUAAGCAGUGGCAUGAAGCGCAAAGCAUUCCAAAGGCUGUUUGGAUGAAACCACCUAAGAUGAGUCAUCUUUUGUUUGAAGUGCUCUACUAAAUGUUAUGCAUGUCUUUGUAAGGGAUUUCUGAAACUUCUAUUUCUAUAUAUCUAUUUUUUCUUUUCUUAAAAGGAAAAAAUUACUGUAAGUUGCUUCAGGUGGAUUUUAGUUGAUGCUUGUAUCAGAAAUUGAGUAUGAGUAGAACACUUGGUAUACGUUUUCAAAGUUUAAUUAUCUGAUCUUUAGGUCUAA